CGUUUCAUCUGUUCUGGGAUUUUCAACUGAGGAGAUAUUAAGACAGGGGAAUGUGGACGCGGGAGAGAACGUGUCUCCGUCUCCUGCACAAUUCCCUGUGAACCAGCAGCCUCCAUCCUAAAGAGCAGAGAAGCAUUUACUGCCCAGAGGAAACCAGGCUGCAGUAAAGCUGACGGACGGCAUUUCGCAUGACUGAAGACAAACG
Long non-coding RNA from Cyprinus carpio (common carp), 205 nucleotides. NCBI's taxonomy places the organism in Eukaryota, Metazoa, Chordata, Actinopteri, Cypriniformes, Cyprinidae. The record is from Ensembl.